Molecule: ribosomal RNA, 974 nt
Filed under: Microbacterium oxydans
Lineage: Bacteria; Bacillati; Actinomycetota; Actinomycetes; Micrococcales; Microbacteriaceae
Description: bacterial SSU rRNA
Rfam family: Bacterial small subunit ribosomal RNA
Source: RNAcentral
AAAGACGGGGGACGUACGGAUUAUUGGGCGUAAGAGCUCGUAGGCGGUUUGUCGCGUCUGCUGUGAAAUCCGGAGGCUCAACCUCCGGCCUGCAGUGGGUACGGGCAGACUAGAGUGCGGUAGGGGAGAUUGGAAUUCCUGGUGUAGCGGUGGAAUGCGCAGAUAUCAGGAGGAACACCGAUGGCGAAGGCAGAUCUCUGGGCCGUAACUGACGCUGAGGAGCGAAAGGGUGGGGAGCAAACAGGCUUAGAUACCCUGGUAGUCCACCCCGUAAACGUUGGGAACUAGUUGUGGGGUCCAUUCCACGGAUUCCGUGACGCAGCUAACGCAUUAAGUUCCCCGCCUGGGGAGUACGGCCGCAAGGCUAAAACUCAAAGGAAUUGACGGGGACCCGCACAAGCGGCGGAGCAUGCGGAUUAAUUCGAUGCAACGCGAAGAACCUUACCAAGGCUUGACAUAUACGAGAACGGGCCAGAAAUGGUCAACUCUUUGGACACUCGUAAACAGGUGGUGCAUGGUUGUCGUCAGCUCGUGUCGUGAGAUGUUGGGUUAAGUCCCGCAACGAGCGCAACCCUCGUUCUAUGUUGCCAGCACGUAAUGGUGGGAACUCAUGGGAUACUGCCGGGGUCAACUCGGAGGAAGGUGGGGAUGACGUCAAAUCAUCAUGCCCCUUAUGUCUUGGGCUUCACGCAUGCUACAAUGGCCGGUACAAAGGGCUGCAAUACCGCGAGGUGGAGCGAAUCCCAAAAAGCCGGUCCCAGUUCGGAUUGAGGUCUGCAACUCGACCUCAUGAAGUCGGAGUCGCUAGUAAUCGCAGAUCAGCAACGCUGCGGUGAAUACGUUCCCGGGUCUUGUACACACCGCCCGUCAAGUCAUGAAAGUCGGUAACACCUGAAGCCGGUGGCCUAACCCUUGUGGAGGGAGCCGUCGAGGUGGAUCGGUAAUAGGACUAAGUCGUACCAAGUAGCCAUUGG